GCAAGCAUACAAGCACGAGGAGUUUGGUACAGGUACGAGUUUGCUCAUCUUCUUCGGUUUCCUCGUUUUCAUUCUCUUUAAGAUACUUCAUUUCUUCUGAAUCAAUGGUUACAAUUAUGUUAUCUUCCUUGUUAAUGACACUUUGGGAAGGAAAUUAUAUUAAUGUUGUUGUUGUUGAUGAAUCCUUGUGAUUGUAUGAUCAAAUAUGGCUAAUCGAAACUUUCGAACCGCCAAAAACCCAACUGGGUUUGUUUGUUUAUAUGUUUAUAUCUGGAAAUAAAGGCCUUAUGGGUAAUUCCUAAUUUCGUCAAAAACCCAACUGGGUCAACUCCUUUCUCAGUUUCAGUCACACUUUUCUUUUUCCUUGUGAAACUUUCUCGUUGCUUUUGUUGUUGUUGUUGGGGGUCUAUAGAAG
Molecule: long non-coding RNA, 415 nt
Filed under: Gossypium barbadense (sea-island cotton)
Lineage: Eukaryota; Viridiplantae; Streptophyta; Magnoliopsida; Malvales; Malvaceae
Description: long non-coding RNA (GBAR_LNC014915)
Source: RNAcentral